UACGUAGGGCGCAAGCGUUAUCCGGAAUUAUUGGGCGUAAAGAGCUCGUAGGCGGUUUGUCGCGUCUGCCGUGAAAGUCCGGGGCUCAACUCCGGAUCUGCGGUGGGUACGGGCAGACUAGAGUGAUGUAGGGGAGACUGGAAUUCCUGGUGUAGCGGUGAAAUGCGCAGAUAUCAGGAGGAAUACCGAUGGCGAAGGCAGGUCUCUGGGCAUUAACUGACGCUGAGGAGCGAAAGCAUGGGGAGCGAACAGG
This 253-nucleotide ribosomal RNA is filed under the name uncultured bacterium. RNAcentral describes it as "partial 16S ribosomal RNA". It matches the Rfam family "Bacterial small subunit ribosomal RNA", at positions 524 to 776 of the family's 1533-position model. The record is from RNAcentral.